Molecule: unclassified non-coding RNA, 206 nt
Filed under: Hevea brasiliensis (rubber tree)
Lineage: Eukaryota; Viridiplantae; Streptophyta; Magnoliopsida; Malpighiales; Euphorbiaceae
Source: RNAcentral
CUUUUUUUUUUUAAUUUUAUUCUUUCACUGGGUAUGUUUAUUAAGUGGUACAUGGUGCUGGAGUUAUUUCUUAUUUUGAUUUUACUGAUAAUAUAUUUUCUCAAAGUUAAUUUGCUCGGUUUUUUUUAUUUUUUAAUUUUCAGUUGCUUUUGGAUAGAGUUUAAUAUUCCAUGUUCUUGCAGGGUAUUGCAAGAAAACUUCUCAAA